This 818-nucleotide long non-coding RNA is filed under the name Serinus canaria (Common canary). RNAcentral's name for it is "lncRNA (ENSSCAG00000003173.1)". The record is from RNAcentral. Lineage: Eukaryota; Metazoa; Chordata; Aves; Passeriformes; Fringillidae.
AGGGAGGGGAGGGGAGGGGUGAGGAGGGGGAGUGGAGCGGGGCGCAGCACCGCCGCACGGCGGGCGCGGUGAGAGCCCGGGCCGGUCGGGAGACAGGAAAGAGCCCGGUUUUCUCUCCCCGAAGUGAGGAUGAGGAGGGGAGGGAGGGAAAGAGGAAGCGUGGGAGGGGGACUGGAGCGCCCUGGAUGGGGCCACAAAGGAGGAAAGCCAGCCAGAGGAGGAGGGGAGAGAAAGCCCGGACCAGCUCCACCUGGGGAACCCCGCGCCGUUGCAGGCACUUUUCUGAACGCACCAAACUCCCAACCCGGAAAGCGAGAGCUGGAAAAAGAGGAGGAGGGAAGGGGAAAAAAAAAAACCUCCACGAACCUGGGAAAAGCAGGAGGCCGCCGCCUACCUGUGGCUCCCCGAACUGGAGCCUCACCCUUCCCGGCCAGCCAAGGUAGCUGCUCCCGGCCCGGCCCCGAGGCCCUCGGUCCAGCGGGACUCCCCAGGGAGAAGCCAGCCCGCCCGGCCUCCUCUGCUCGGCCAAAGGGGCCAAGCAAGAGAGGGGGCACGUCUCGCCUCAGCCCUUACCCCCGCCGUGCUGCGGGCCAGGCCAGAGGUGCUGCUCCAAGGCCCAGGGGGAUACUAAGCCAAGGCAGGCACCAUUGGCCAGAAGGUGACAUCCCCACUGCUGUCCCUGCUGUCUGACAGGACACUGACCUUGGGGGAGCCAUCCCUGUCCUUGGGUUGAAGCUGUUUGCCUGGGUAGGCUUGGAAAACCCAACCAAAACGGAUACACAAAAACAACAACAGUGUAACUUGUAGGAAUGAAGGAG